GAGUGCUUGCACUCUGUGAAACAAGAUACAGGCUAGCGGCGGACGGGUGAGUAACACGUGGGUAACCUGCCCAAGAGAUCGGGAUAACACCUGGAAACAGAUGCUAAUACCGGAUAACAACAGAUGAUGCCUAUCAACUGUUUAAAAGAUGGUUCUGCUAUCACUCUUGGAUGGACCUGCGGUGCAUUAGCUAGUUGGUAGGGUAACGGCCUACCAAGGCGAUGAUGCAUAGCCGAGUUGAGAGACUGAUCGGCCACAUUGGGACUGAGACACGGCCCAAACUCCUACGGGAGGCAGCAGUAGGGAAUCUUCCACAAUGGACGCAAGUCUGAUGGAGCAACGCCGCGUGAGUGAAGAAGGGCUUCGGCUCGUAAAGCUCUGUUGUUGGUGAAGAAGGACAGGGGUAGUAACUGACCUUUGUUUGACGGUAAUCAAUUAGAAAGUCACGGCUAACUACGUGCCAGCAGCCGCGGUAAUACGUAGGUGGCAAGCGUUGUCCGGAUUUAUUGGGCGUAAAGCGAGUGCAGGCGGCUCGAUAAGUCUGAUGUGAAAGCCUUCGGCUCAACCGGAGAAUUGCAUCAGAAACUGCCGAGCUUGAGUACAGAAGAGGAGAGUGGAACUCCAUGUGUAGCGGUGAAAUGCGUAGAUAUAUGGAAGAACACCGGUGGCGAAGGCGGCUCUCUGGUC
Molecule: ribosomal RNA, 687 nt
Filed under: uncultured bacterium
Lineage: Bacteria
Description: bacterial SSU rRNA
Rfam family: Bacterial small subunit ribosomal RNA
Source: RNAcentral